UGGCGAAAAGGCAAACCUCGCGCGAGCGGGGGACGCAAAGCUUCGGGUCUCAGGUUAGACGGCCGAGCUGCCGCCC
RNAcentral lists this non-coding RNA (76 nucleotides) under Candidatus Omnitrophota bacterium. RNAcentral's name for it is "Omnitrophica WOR c-di-GMP sequence". It matches the Rfam family "c-di-GMP-I-GGC riboswitch aptamer". Lineage: Bacteria; Pseudomonadati; Candidatus Omnitrophota. The record is from RNAcentral.